AUGUGUACUACAAUGAGGAAAGGUGGUAUAGAUAUAGAAUCCAGGGACUUGCACUCCUUCAUUUUGGCAUGGUUACCUGUAUAAGUUUGGCGCUUGAUGGCUGAACCUCAUUCCCAAUGUGAAAAGGUACUCAAAGCUAAAUACUUCAAAGAUGGAGAUCUCAUGAAUUGCAAAUUAAAGAAAUGAAGCUCUUACACUUGGCAGAGCAUUUGGGGUGGUACUCAAACAUUCAAGAGAGGUCACAUCUUGCGUGUUGGAGAUGACACUACGAUUAAGAUUUGGGAGGACGCUUGGGUUCCUAGUAGUCCAAAUCGAAUGAUAUUGACUAGAAGAUGUAACAUAGUGCCUACAGAAGUUUUGGGAUUAAUAAAUUGGAUGAAGAGCUCAUUAGGGAUAAUUUCUGGCCAAUUGUUCAAACCAAACUCUAAAUAUUACAUUAAUAGUGGGUAUGAUGGAAGACUUUGUCUCUUAGCACUUUAA
This 480-nucleotide ribosomal RNA is filed under the name Triticum aestivum (bread wheat). RNAcentral's name for it is "partial small subunit ribosomal RNA". Lineage: Eukaryota; Viridiplantae; Streptophyta; Magnoliopsida; Poales; Poaceae. The record is from RNAcentral.